This is a long non-coding RNA of Ooceraea biroi (clonal raider ant), 503 nucleotides long. RefSeq lists it as uncharacterized. The record is from RefSeq and is a predicted model, not a curated record. NCBI's taxonomy places the organism in Eukaryota, Metazoa, Arthropoda, Insecta, Hymenoptera, Formicidae.
GUAUUGAGAAUAUAUAUAUCAAUACCUUCUUCCCGUUACUACUACGGUUCACGUGCGGAACUCUGCGACAAAAAGAUCUGUGCGCAAAAGAACUCUGCAUAAACGAACUAUGUUCACUCUAACAGAUGUUUAUUUGCAAAAUAAAAUUAAAAGUAAAUUUUCGAAAAUUUAGAAAGCCUUCUUGCAUAAAUGUGUGUGUAUGUAUUCCAAAUUAAACAAAAAUAUAUAUGUUGUGCCAAAAGCAACGGUGUCCAAAUGAACGGUGCGCAAAAGAACUGUGCGCAACUUUAUGUGUUUAAUACAUUGAGCUAUAUACAUACUGGAGUGAGCCUUCAAGAAGUGAAGGCAGCCCAACUUCGAGAAAGAAGCCAAUAUUACGUGUCACCGAAACGUAUAAAUAAUAAAAUCUGACAAUUCUCAAAUAAUAAUUACCUCUUUGGACAACCUCGAGAAGAGAUCACCGCCUUUUAGAAAAUCUAAUAUCAAAUAAAGUUUUCCCUCCG